This 222-nucleotide long non-coding RNA is filed under the name Lathyrus oleraceus (garden pea). RNAcentral's name for it is "Pisum sativum (pea) long non-coding RNA (PSAT_LNC012753)". The record is from RNAcentral. Lineage: Eukaryota; Viridiplantae; Streptophyta; Magnoliopsida; Fabales; Fabaceae.
AAGACUCCUCUUUUGUUUCUUGAGGUAGGUCCCACGUUCAGUUCUAAUGUGACCAUACCCAUCACAUUCAUAGCACUGGACUCCUUUUCCUUCUUUGGGCUUUUCUUCUGACCUCGUUCUUCUUCCAAUAUUGUUGGAUUUACUGAUGUCAGAUGCGAUGUUCUUGACAUUGGCCUUAGAUCUUACAUCCAUCUUUUUCAUAAGUUUGUUGAAUAGUCUUCC